Molecule: non-coding RNA, 942 nt
Organism: Monodelphis domestica (gray short-tailed opossum)
Lineage: Eukaryota; Metazoa; Chordata; Mammalia; Didelphimorphia; Didelphidae
Source: RefSeq, a predicted model, not a curated record
CUGGGAGAAGUGGCCCUGGCCCUUUUGGUCUUGUUCCUUCCCUACUCAAUCUCCUAGCCCAGAGUCCUACCCCCUGGGGGAUGGAAGGGAGCUGGGAUACACCUGGAAGCAUAAGGGGUGACUCAAAUGGAGGUCUCCCUCCUACCCCCUCACUUCACCUCAAACAAACAACAACCAAAGCAACAAUUCAGUGGCCAAAGUGGCCAGAUGGAUACAUAUGGGGAUUUCUGAAAUAAGUAUCCCAACAGGAUACACAUUAACAAUUCAGAGCAUAUGCCGACAGACAUGACUAUGAUGAAGAUGAUGAUACACCCUGAAGCCCAAAGCUGGGCUGCUUGUGAAUGACAGGGCACCGUGGAAGCCACAAGUUGCCAAGUUUAGCAUGGAUGAACUUGAUACUUUUCUAAGGGAAGGCCUAACUCUCAAACUGUGGUUUGCCUCUCCUCUUAAGCCUGGUCAUCAGCAAAAGGGCAAGUCCUUACCCUGCUGAAUUUUCUGGUUCUCUGCAACCCUAGAUCCUCUAGUGGCGACAAAGCAGAAUGUCUGUAAAGUGUUUUGCAAACUUUCAAGACCUGCACAAAUGAUUAACUGAUGUUAUCAACAGUACUCCUACUCUAUUGCCUCCCAGCUCCUCUUUUCCUCUAUGUCAUAAUGUCUCCUGUUCUAUUACAUUCUUCAAAAUCAAAUUUGAGGGUUCAAGGUGUUCAGGAAGAGUCCCUUCCUUUCUGUUGUUGUUCAGUCGUGUCCUCCAAUGCUUUGUGACUUCAUUUGGGGUUUUCUUGGCAAAGAUACUGGAGUGCUUUGCCACUGCAUUCUCCAGCUCAUUUUCUAGAUGAGGAACUAAGGAAAAUAGGGUUAAGUGACUUGCCUAGGGUCACACAGCUAGAAACUUAUCUGAGGCCAGAUUUGAACUCAUGAAUAUGAAUCAUCCUGACUCCAGAC